This 133-nucleotide small nucleolar RNA is filed under the name Mus caroli (Ryukyu mouse). RNAcentral describes it as "predicted gene, 25973 (MGP_CAROLIEiJ_G0036158.1)". It matches the Rfam family "Small nucleolar RNA SNORA51". From Rfam's summary of the family: ACA51 is a member of the H/ACA class of snoRNA that guide the sites of modification of uridines to pseudouridines. Lineage: Eukaryota; Metazoa; Chordata; Mammalia; Rodentia; Muridae. The record is from RNAcentral.
GGCUUCCUCAUGCUUAACAACAGGUUGUAUUCUUAUUCUGUCUGUCAGAAAGAGGAGGCAGAGUGAACCUACCCCAUGUACAUCUCAGCCCAGGCUACGGUACCAGGUAUGUCACGUGAAAGGGGCGUGGGGA